Molecule: microRNA precursor, 112 nt
Organism: Pongo abelii (Sumatran orangutan)
Lineage: Eukaryota; Metazoa; Chordata; Mammalia; Primates; Hominidae
Source: Ensembl
AACAACCUUGUCUUCUUGCUUCUUAAAUGGUUAUGUCCUUUGCCUAUUCUAUUUAAGACACCCUGUACCUUAAAUAGAGUAGGCAAAGGACAGAAACAUUUUAAGUUCUCUA